This 426-nucleotide ribosomal RNA is filed under the name uncultured bacterium. RNAcentral describes it as "partial 16S ribosomal RNA". It matches the Rfam family "Bacterial small subunit ribosomal RNA", at positions 355 to 774 of the family's 1533-position model. The record is from RNAcentral.
UGGGGAAUAUUGGACAAUGGGCGAAAGCCUGAUCCAGCCAUGCCGCGUGUGUGAAGAAGGUCUUCGGAUUGUAAAGCACUUUAAGUUGGGAGGAAGGGCAUUAACCUAAUACGUUAGUGUUUUGACGUUACCGACAGAAUAAGCACCGGCUAACUCUGUGCCAGCAGCCGCGGUAAUACAGAGGGUGCAAGCGUUAAUCGGAAUUACUGGGCGUAAAGCGCGCGUAGGUGGUUUGUUAAGUUGGAUGUGAAAGCCCGGGCUCAACCUGGGAACUGCAUCCAAAACUGGCAAGCUAGAGUACGGUAGAGGGUGGUGGAAUUUCCUGUGUAGCGGUGAAAUGCGUAGAUAUAGGAAGGAACACCAGUGGCGAAGGCGACCACCUGGACUGAUACUGACACUGAGGUGCGAAAGCGUGGGGAGCAAACA